RNAcentral lists this ribosomal RNA (376 nucleotides) under uncultured organism. Its description in RNAcentral is "bacterial SSU rRNA". It matches the Rfam family "Bacterial small subunit ribosomal RNA", at positions 526 to 896 of the family's 1533-position model. The record is from RNAcentral.
CAGAGGUCCCGAGCGUUGUUCGGAUUCACUGGGCGUAAAGGGUGCGCAGGUGGGUUGGCAAGUUUGAUGUGAAAGCCCCGGGCUUAACCCGGGAAUGGCAUUGAAUACUGUUGAUCUGGAGGAUCGGAGGGGGACGUGGAAUUCUUGGUGUAGCAGUGAAAUAGCGUAGAUAUCAAGAGGAACACCAGUGGCGAAGGCGAGUCCCUCGGACGAUACCUGACACUGAGGCACGAAAGACUAGGGGAGGCAAACAGGAUUAGAUACCCUGGUAGUCCUAGCUGUAAACGGUGCGCAUUUGCUGUAAACGGAAUCGACCCCGUUUGUGGCGAAGCUAACGCGAUAAAUGCGCCGCCUGGGAAGUACGGUCGCAAGAUUA